RNAcentral lists this ribosomal RNA (301 nucleotides) under uncultured bacterium. RNAcentral's name for it is "partial 16S ribosomal RNA". It matches the Rfam family "Bacterial small subunit ribosomal RNA", at positions 509 to 807 of the family's 1533-position model. The record is from RNAcentral.
CAGUCGCCGCGGUAAUACGUAGGUGGCAAGCGUUGUCCGGAAUUAUUGGGCGUAAAGGGCUCGCAGGCGGUUUCUUAAGUCUGAUGUGAAAGCCCCUGGCUCAACCGGGGAGGGUCAUUGGAAACUGGGAAACUUGAGUGCAGAAGAGGAGAGUGGAAUUCCACGUGUAGCGGUGAAAUGCGUAGAGAUGUGGAGGAACACCAGUGGCGAAGGCGACUCUCUGGUCUGUAACUGACGCUGAGGAGCGAAAGCGUGGGGAGCGAACAGGAUUAGAUACCCCCGUAGUCCCUGUCUCUUAUAC